Molecule: ribosomal RNA, 497 nt
Filed under: uncultured bacterium
Lineage: Bacteria
Description: partial 16S ribosomal RNA
Rfam family: Bacterial small subunit ribosomal RNA
Source: RNAcentral
GAUGAACGCUGGCGGCGUGCCUAAUACAUGCAAGUCGAGCGAACGGACGAGAAGCUUGCUUCUCUGAUGUUAGCGGCGGACGGGUGCGUAACACGUGGAUAACCUACCUAUAAGACUGGGAUAACUUCGGGAAACCGGAGCUAAUACCGGAUAAUAUUUUGAACCGCAUGGUUCAAAAGUGAAAGACGGUCUUGCUGUCACUUAUAGAUGGAUCCGCGCUGCAUUAGCUAGUUGGUAAGGUAACGGCUUACCAAGGCAACGAUGCAUAGCCGACCUGAGAGGGUGAUCGGCCACACUGGAACUGAGACACGGUCCAGACUCCUACGGGAGGCAGCAGUAGGGAAUCUUCCGCAAAGGGCGAAAGCCUGACGGAGCAACGCCGCGUGAGUGAUGAAGGUCUUCGGAUCGUAAAACUCUGUUAUUAGGGAAGAACAUAUGUGUAAGUAACUGUGCACAUCUUGACGGUACCUAAUCAGAAAGCCACGGCUAACUACGUG